GGGGAAGUGCCGGAAUUGGCAGACGGGCCAGAUUUAGGAUCUGGUGUCGCAAGACGUGGGGGUUCGAGUCCCCCCUUCCCCA
This 82-nucleotide transfer RNA is filed under the name Dehalococcoidales bacterium. RNAcentral describes it as "tRNA-Leu". It matches the Rfam family "tRNA". From Rfam's summary of the family: Transfer RNA (tRNA) molecules are approximately 80 nucleotides in length. Their secondary structure includes four short double-helical elements and three loops (D, anti-codon, and T loops). The record is from RNAcentral. Lineage: Bacteria; Bacillati; Chloroflexota; Dehalococcoidia; Dehalococcoidales.